AUGUUUAAAGCAGUUUUUAGUGAUUUUCAUUAAAAACUGCUUUAGACUACUAAGACAUCUUCCAGAUAUUAUUUGCAAAAUGAUUUGACAUAUGUUCUUUUUACAAUCAUUUUUACUAAAAAGUAUGAGAUAAUAUACUAUAAAUGAUGGCAUGGUUUAUGGGUAAAUUUAAAAUAGAUAAUUACAUAGAAUAUGAUAAUAAUUCAUAUAUGAUCAUUAAAAUAAAUAUACGUAUACGAUACUAAAUAAUAUAACAGAUGGAAAUAUAAUAUUUCUUGCAAAACCAACUGGAGACGAAGAGAGAAGACAUGCUUCCGGCUCAGCUCCCGUAGAGAGCGUUUUGUGAACCAAAAAAAAAACAGAGAGAUUUUUUUGGGUAGAGGGAUAUGGCUGUGUAUCUUAUAGAUGGGACUGAAUUUCUUGGGCUUUCAUUUUGUUUCUGCUUGACAAAAUUCUUGCUCGCUAUAAUUGGUAAGCAAGGAAAAUAACUGUGCUCUGGAUAAUAAUUUAUAUAUUAUUAUUGGUAAACUUAUCAAAAUUUUGUUAUAUUGUACACAGUUUCAGAUUAAGUAUUUUAAAAGAAGCAAUGCACCACACCAUUUUAUUGUAUGUGCUAAAAGCCUAAAAGAGUGAGUAUGUAUAAAUAAUGUUUUAGUAGUCUAAAGCAGUUUUUAGUGAUUUUCAUCAAUUUUAUUAUGUAUAUGUUUACUAACAAUUUGAAUAGUAAACUGAUUUUUAUUGUUAUUUAAAAAAUAUAUAAAGAAUAAACAAAAAGAUGAGCAAAAAUAUAAAGAAAAAAAUGAAAAACAUAAGCACAAAUUUAGAAAAACUGAAACAACAAACAACAAUGUAGAGGAAAAGUAAUAUAGACAAUUUUAUCCUAUAUCUCCAUAAUAUUGUUUAAAAUGUCAAUUUCUUACAAGUCGCGGUAAUGUUAAUUUUUAUAAUAGUCAGUUACAUAUGUAUCUUUAAUGAAUCAAAAUUAGUAUAUCUAAAUAUCAUUUUAAUAUUCCUAUUUUAGUUAGUAACAUUUAUUUUUCAUAAUAUAUAUAAAUAAUUAAAAUAUAAGAAAUAAUUUUUAAACUAUUUGAGUUAUUUGUUUCUUGUAAAUCAAGUCUAUGUUAAUAUUAAUAAAUUCAGUUAUACAAAUUAUAAAUAAUUUUAAAUAGACAUUUUAAAAUAAUAUUAUAGAUUUUUUCAGGGGCCGACCGAGGAAUGAGAGAUGUGUGCACGUGCCGCACUCUCUAUUAUAAACGUUAAAAAUUAAGAUAUAAAAAUUUAUAAUUAAGAAUUAAUCAAACAAUUGUAUUUUUAUAAAGAUAUUUUCUGAAAUAUUUCUAAUAUGUGAAUUUUUUAAAAAACUUUAACACAAUAACUAAAAUAUAUAUUUUGAUAAAAAAAUUGUCAAAUUUAAAUAAUUUGAUCUAUAAUUUAAACUUUUUGAAAAUAUUUAUAACAGUUUAUCAUGUUAAUUUAUGAAUUAAUAGGACAUAAACUAAUAAAUAUUCAUAAAGGAAAAAAAUAUCAUAUGUAUAAACAAAGACCUAUGGCCAGUAUAAAAAUAGGAUGAAGAUCUUGAAGUCUAGGUACCAUAGCUUUGCAGAUUUUUCAUAUCCCUGUGUCCUGUUCUGUUACUUGUUUGGUUACUACUGAGGAUCACCUACAACUAAUUACACUAUUCCUGUGACUCUCGUUUUUCCCAGCAUCAUUUGAAUCAUUACUUGUUCUCAUUCUGCAAAUAUGAAAAUAUGUCUUAUCUAUGGAUCCGUUCUUCAGUGACUUCCAACACCCCUAAUGAAAACUAAGCUAGAUGUCCAUGAUUACGUCUUUUGAUGGAAACUCUAGUUAGUCUUAUAUAGCUGAAGUGAUCUGAAGAACUUGUUCCUGCCUCUCUUUCUAGGCCAAUUUACAACAUCAUCCCUGUAGAUGUGCAGACUUUGGCACACCAACAUAUUUCAAAGGCUUGGUGUGCUCUUACAAAUCUCUCAAUAAAUAAUAAUACAUACCUGAGACCUGGCAUUACUCCUGCAGUUGAUGAUAUCAACACUAACUGUUCAUUUUCUAGGAGAGGAAGAUCCACUGCCAAAGUUACAUCCAACACUGAUGGAUCUUUCUAUGCACACAAUCAUCAAGAGGAUAGUCAAAAGAGAAUAAGAGGAACUGCAACAUCUUUUGACUGUUCCUCCUCCUCUUCCCCAGGUGAUGGUAAAUUAACUUCUGGAAAAGUUCCAUGGGUAAAUAACGAGGUUAAAAUCUAAAUAAAUAACUUAUUCUUAGCUGUGUUGAUAUUAAAGCAAACAAGAUGAGAAAACCAUUCUUAGCUAAUAACUAAUUCUUAGCUGUGUUGAUAUUCAAUUCUUAGCUGCAAGCAGCGCGUCCUUCAUUUGUUCCACAUGGCUGGAAGCUUGAAGACAGAGCCCUAGCUGUGUUGAUAUUAAAGCAAACAAGAUGAGAAAGCCACUUGGUUUUGUGAAAUAACCAUUAAGAAAGUGAGAGAAAUGGCAGCCACACCUUUACUCCAUGACUACAGUUGGAACAUGAUGUAGCGGAAGCCUUUAGGAUGUAGCGGAAGCCUUUAGGAUAGGACUAGAGAUCCGUUGAUUCUGAGAAUACCCGGAAAACUAGAAUAACAUAAAGAUCUUCUUAAAUUCGUUAAGAUCACCAAUGAUCUACCGAAAGCAAAAAAACAACAAAGAGAACUCUCAAUUUUAUUAAUAAAUCAUCAACUCAUAAACUCCCUAAAACCAUAGCCUCAAAGACUAUAUAUAUAUAAGAAAACAUAAAAACCCUAAAACAUUAGAGAUAAUUAUCUUAAUAAUAAAUAAACUCUAAAUAAAACACUAAAUAAAUAAGAUAUUUAUUCUAAAUAUCCUCUCUGCAUCAGAACAUAACUCAGGAGGCAAACAGGGCUGUUCUUUUCCUCUGGAAGCAAAUAUAUUAACAGAUGGUUGAUGGGUACACGUUGAAUGGUAGUGUUCCAUAACAAUUUCCUCUACGUCAAUACUCUCCGCUCCAAAGUAAGCACAUGUUGGAGUUGGUCUAAUUUUUCAAUUCUGCAGAAGUAGCAUCAAGAAUGUUACCUUGAGCAUGUCAUCAUCGUCAAUCUCGAUAGCUUCCACCUGUCUAGCUGGGUGUGCGAAGUUUCUAAUUGGUGGUACCUCCAUACCAUUUAUACAACCGGUUACUGAAUCUCCCUUUUAGUUUUUUCUUGGUGUCUUCGUUGUGUGUUGUUUAGUAUCCGCAUUUUAUGCCGAAUUACCCACUAUUUUUUCCCAACUUAUAAGAUGUUGUUGCACUACAAGAUCUCCAAUAUAUGUUUACGCUUGAUAUUUGACUCUAUUAUUCUUUCUGGGUUUUGAUUUACUCCUCUUUUUUGAUCCGUUAUGUUUUUCCAUGUGCAAGUGAUGAAAUAUUCUGCUUUUUUUUUUCCAGUAUCAAGCUAAUGAGCAGGUUACUCUGUGGGUGAACAAAGUCGGCCCAUAUAAUAAUCCACAAGAAACAUAUAACUACUAUAGCCUCCCAUUUUGCCGCAAAACUGAAAACGGCAUUCACAAAUGGGGUGGUCUUGGUGAGGUUCUUGGUGGAAAUGAGCUCAUCGACAGCCAGAUAGACAUAAAGUUCUUGAGUACGUUAGCUUCUAUGCUAGUUUUUUUUGUUAUCUUGAUUGCACAACAGUUAUAUUGCCUUCGUCUGUUUUUACUCCCAGAAAAUUGUGACAACCCAUCCUCUCACUAGGAACCUAGGUUCACAGCGCUGCAGCGCACCGAUCCCAACCCCUCCAUUAUGAGUCCUUUCUGACUCCAUAAUUAGGUUGUUGGUGAGACUCGAACCCAGGUUCUCACCCUUUAACAAUACUCCUCCAGGAUGAGUUGUCACCAAUUGACGACUUUUUAUGUGACAACCCAUCCUCUCACUAGGAACCUAGGUUCACAGCGCUGUGAACCUAGGUUCCUAGUGAGAGGAUGGGUUGUCACAAAAAUGUUGACAGAAGCGUGAUCUGUCAUUUGGAACUUGAUGAAGCUAAGGUCAAGCAUUUCAAAGAUGCCAUCGAAAAUAGCUACUGGUUUGAAUUAUUUAUGGGUAUGUAUCACAUUUACUUGUACAUUUUACUGAGGAAGAAAUAUCAAAGGAAAAAAAUUGAUUCGCUCGAUUGUAGAAGAUCCGCUGUUUGUUAUAUUUAAAAUUGAAAGUCUUCGCAACUCAUCAAAGGAACUUAAUGCUACAAUAUCACCAUAUGUCCAGUGUUCUUACGUCAGUGUAACUCAAACUUUCAACGUCCUUAGUUUACUUUUGUCUGCUUCUUUUUGUCACAAAUGAUGUUUUUUUUUGCUAGGAAUGUAAAUAUCAUAUAAAUAUGAGAAGGUUCAGAUAUACAAGAUAGCUGCAAGAUAUCACCUUGGCAAAAAAAGAUAAAAAACAAGGGGAUACAUAAUUGAGAAACAAAUGAUCAAGAGAAGAUUAAGAAAGCCAUCGAACCAUAAGACCUUCAAAGCGCUUUCUUCCCCUUCUUCAUGUGAUUACGUUGCGGACCUCGCGAUCAAUGAGCCUAACGACGGUCUGAGGGGGUAGACAGACUCCAUUGUGUAGACUGUUAUUCCUCUGCUUCCAUAAAUGAUACACUGUUGCCUGGGCCGCCACCAUUUUUAGUGUUGAAGGCGUACGUGGAUGCAAGUUAAGAAUAUGUUUAUUGCAGGUCUCUUAGGUUGGGUCUCUUAACGUAAUGUCGUAAUAUAAGAUACGGUCUCUUAGCUUUUUUAGCUUAUCACCAAAACAAAACCAUUUCAUAUCAACCUAAUCCAUAAUGCUGCUGCUAAAACAACACAGUGUAGAACCAGCUGGAUCGAGCCUCCGAUCCCCAAAACAACAGAUCCAAGCCAAAAAAACAAACAUGCAGCAGCGAGAUCAAGCUCGAAUCAAGCUACAAGCUAAGAAAGAAAGAUGACAGAGAUUCAAAUCUAACCUUGUGAUCUGACUCGGAGGCCGAAGCUGGAGAGAGAAAAAGUAAGACGCAUGCGACGACGGAUAAGAGGGAAGGGACAGCGGAGGAGGACACCAUAUCGGAACCCGGCGGAGGCUCACAUCUGAGGGCGCGGUGAUGGAAAGAGAGAGAUGUGUUGCCAGUUUUAUUUUCGUUUUCGUAAAAUUUAAUCUUUGAUUCGAAAAAUUGGGAUAGACAAAAUUGCCUCAAGAAUAUUUACAAUAACAAUCCAACUAGUUCGAUAUUUACUAAAAUAUCGCAAACCUAAAUAUCUUUUACUAAUUAACUACAUACUACCCCAAAUCUUUUAGUAUCUACCAAAAUACACUGAUCCUUUUAAUUAAUACCUUUUAGAGAUCUAACUAUCAAUCAACUAAAAAAUGUCAAUGAUUUGAAGGAAAAAGAUAAUACCUAUAUCUAUACUAUUAUUUUGUAAAAUAAUUUUUCGCAACAGAACUCUCACGUUAAAUAUUAGACGGAAACUAUUAUUUCGCCUUGUCGAAGGUUGUGUGGCGUCUGUGCUGCUUGCAGUUUAUGGUGUCUGUUCCUCUACGUUCCUCGAUUAGUAUGGUUCAGGAGGCUCCCGCAAGGUUUGCUAUCUCUCUUCCUCUAAUCAUCGAAUCUAGAGUUUCAUGAUCAGUCAAGUUACAAGUUUGAAGAUAUUAUCAAUACCUAGAUACUCUUGUGAUGUCAAUAGAAGUCCGGCAUCUGAAGCAACAAGGUAAACUCCACAUUCAUGUGGUAAACAUCAACAACGGCUGAGAACAGGGAAUGACUUUCUAAAGAUUCCGGAGUAGUCUAGCAGAUUGUGUCGGUUAAGUGGGCUAGUGAAUUUAGACUUGUAAUGUUUGAAUUAGAAAACUUUUGGUUGAAUCAAACUUGUAACCGGAAUUUAACUUGUAUUUCACAGUUUCAACAUUGAAACCUGAGAAACAAACAAGAACUCUCUCUCAGCUUCUUACACAAAGCAAAGUAAAACACUUGAACAACAAGCGAUCAACAGGAAUUUAGUUACUCAUCAAUGGUUGGAAUAGAGUUGUGGAUGGGACCACAAGUGAAAUUAUGAUAUCCACUCAUCAGUCUCUUUAGCAAACUCCAUCUUCUUCUUCUUCUCCAUCCCCAUUACUCUCUCGGCAAAAGAUAUAAUCUCAGAAGCUACAGCUCACACUCUCUUCCUCCACUUCUCACCAUCUCCUCCUUCAUCUGUCCUCUUCCUCUUCGAUCUCUCCUUGUGUCCCCACACAACUCCAGCGAAUCUGUUAACCGUUUCUGUUAAUUGAUAAUCCUUGAUUUGCUCUGUCUCUCAUCCUCUUCUUUGUCUUCUUCAUUUUCUUGUGUGUCCACUGCGGCGUCGCCACGACGGCGAUAUGAUAUCACAUCGUAAACCAACACGACAAUCGAAGAUCCGGAACCCCAUUAACUGAAACGUAUUCGGACAUAUCUCCGUCAGGUUUUUAACCGGCCUGGUUUGUUGAUUAAAAUUUAUUAGAAAAAACUAGUAUUAGCUCCCGUGCAUACCCACGGACAUUAUUCUUUUUUUAUUAUUAUUAUAUAACAUAAAUUACAAAUUCUAGUGAAUAUAAAUGUUAUUUUGAGAGUUAUUGGUAGACAAUUGUUUUUCUAAAAUAUAUUUAUAACUUAUAACAGCCUAAUAUGGAUCCAAAGUGCAUGUAAAAUAUUGAUCCGCUUAAUUCAAAAUCAUUAAAUAUGAAAACUAAGGGAAAGUAUAGAUCUAGCACAAAUAUAAUUAAAAUAUUAAAAAAAUAAUUAAAAUAUUAACUUUAAUUUGUAGAUAAUUGAGGUAUUUUUGCUCUUUACUUAUAUAUAUAUAUAUAUAUAUAUAUUUCUGUUUCCUUUUUUUUUAAUUCUGAGAAAAAAUGUUUGAGAAAGUAAGAACAUAACCAAAUUCCUAAAAAACCACGAUCACACAACCAACCCAAAAUAUAUUUCUGUUUUCUAUCUUGCUUUUUUUUUUCAUUGUCAAUGCUAUAUUUAUCCUAAAGUUUUUGUUUCUGAGAAAAUCUACAAAAAAAAAGAUACAAAAAACGUAUGUUGAUCCAAAAAAUAAUACCACCAUACAAAAAUAAGAAGACCAACCUGAAGUUAGAUCUUGAUACAGAGGUAGACAUGAGUCCUCGUUUCUUCUACCACUUGAUUUUCUUAAUCCCCAUUUUCUAUCUUCUUGUUAUCACAACAUAUUGUUUUUUCUUGAGUUGCUUCUUAUGUUGAUCUUCGUACUUCCCUUCCAUGAAUUACCACGACCACAACGAAGAAUCAUGUGCCAGCAAAUUGAAAACUAAUUUAGUCCUUCGAAAAUUCAUCAAAACAAAAUAAAAUAAAAUAAUUAUAAAAUAAGUUAGCCGAGAAAACUAACUUUUGUCUCCCAACCGAGAUAGCUAGGAUUUGUUGGUUGACGUCCUCCUCCAGCGGAGCUCCGGGGCGUAAGCCAGGCGCCUCCGUCGAUGCCUGCUUGGAGCCACUUCGGUGAGUUUUCGACUAAACUUCCCCCGGCUAUACUCUUGCUUCCUCCGAUUUGUUUCAGAUGCAGCAAGAAGUGCUUUGAUUAGGGUAAUUAUAUUGUUGUUAUACUUGAUCUUAUUGACUAUUGAUUUCAAGUUCUCUUGUUAGAAGUUUGAAAUUGAUCCUUGUGUAUCCUAGAGGUUUUUUAAUUUUUUUUGCGGUCUCUAGGAUCAAAUCAGCUUUUGAGCAGAUUGUGGUUUCAAGUUAAACUUGUAACCAAACCUUCAUUUUCAUUAAUGAUAUUUAUAAUUUAG
Long non-coding RNA from Brassica rapa (field mustard), 7752 nucleotides. RefSeq lists it as uncharacterized. NCBI's taxonomy places the organism in Eukaryota, Viridiplantae, Streptophyta, Magnoliopsida, Brassicales, Brassicaceae. The record is from RefSeq and is a predicted model, not a curated record.